This 685-nucleotide unclassified non-coding RNA is filed under the name uncultured Prochlorococcus sp. RNAcentral's name for it is "partial may contain 16S ribosomal RNA, 16S-23S ribosomal RNA intergenic spacer, and 23S ribosomal RNA". The stretch from base 1 to 96 matches the Rfam family "Bacterial small subunit ribosomal RNA", at positions 1438 to 1533 of the family's 1533-position model. Lineage: Bacteria; Bacillati; Cyanobacteriota; Cyanophyceae; Synechococcales; Prochlorococcaceae. The record is from RNAcentral.
CCCUUGUGGAGGAGGACGCCGAAGGUGGGGCUAAUGACUGGGGUGAAGUCGUAACAAGGUAGCCGUACCGGAAGGUGCGGCUGGAUCACCUCCUAACAGGGAGACAACAAAAUGUUUAAUAUUAUUAUUUUGUCACCUUAGGUCGAUCGGUACCUCACUUUCUUAAUUUAUUAAGAAUUUCAUUUCCUAAGUUUUUCUAGGUCACACCCAUUAUUUUUCCUGGGCCAUUAGCUCAGGUGGUUAGAGCGCACCCCUGAUAAGGGUGAGGUCCCUGGUUCAAGUCCAGGAUGGCCCAUAUCUCUAUGUUGGGGGUAUAGCUCAGUUGGUAGAGCGCCUGCUUUGCAAGCAGGAUGUCAGCGGUUCGAGUCCGCUUACCUCCACUGAUUACCACCUCUUCCAUAAUUCUGAAGAAAGGAAAUUUUUUGAGUUGUGAUCAAUUCUGAACGAAUCUAGCUUCCUAAUGUAAAUAUUAAGAUGCUGGACUCAUUGAAUUAAAUUCAUUGUUUUCAGAGAACCUUGACAACUGCAUAGAUUAUUUUUAAAGACAAUAAGCAUCUUUAGUGAUGCAGAUUUUUAUUUGUGCGAAUGCAUUAAUAACAAUUCUAUUAAGCUGAUGCUUCAAUUUUGAAGUUAUUGGUCAAGCUACAAAGGGCUCACGGAGGAUACCUAGGCACACAGAGGCGAU